Non-coding RNA from Cercophora newfieldiana, 92 nucleotides. The record is from the annotation of a GenBank genome assembly. NCBI's taxonomy places the organism in Eukaryota, Fungi, Ascomycota, Sordariomycetes, Sordariales, Lasiosphaeriaceae.
GCCUGAUUAGCAUAGUGGCUAAUGCGUUACACUUGUAUCACUUCCUCUUUGACGACAUGCAAAGAUCACUGGUUUGAUUCCAGUAUUAGGCA